GAUGAACGCUGGCGGCGUGCCUAAUACAUGCAAGUCGAGCGAACAGACGAGGAGCUUGCUCCUCUGACGUUAGCGGCGGACGGGUGAGUAACACGUGGAUAACCUACCUAUAAGACUGGGAUAACGUCGGGAAACCGGAGCUAAUACCGGAUAAUAUAUUGAACCGCAUGGUUCAAUAGUGAAAGACGGUUUUGCUGUCACUUAUAGAUGGAUCCGCGCCGCAUUAGCUAGUUGGUAAGGUAACGGCUUACCAAGGCAACGAUGCGUAGCCGACCUGAGAGGGUGAUCGGCCACACUGGAACUGAGACACGCUCCAGACUCCUACGGGAGGCAGCAGUAGGGAAUCUUCCGCAAUGGGCGCAAGCCUGACGGAGCAACGCCGCGUGAGUGAUGAAGGUCUUCGGAUCGUAAAACUCUGUUAUUAGGGAAGAACAAAUGUGUAAGUAACUAUGCACGUCUUGACGGUACCUAAUCAGAAAGCCACGGCUAACUACGUG
Molecule: ribosomal RNA, 497 nt
Filed under: uncultured bacterium
Lineage: Bacteria
Description: partial 16S ribosomal RNA
Rfam family: Bacterial small subunit ribosomal RNA
Source: RNAcentral